Molecule: long non-coding RNA, 487 nt
Filed under: Macaca mulatta (Rhesus monkey)
Lineage: Eukaryota; Metazoa; Chordata; Mammalia; Primates; Cercopithecidae
Description: lncRNA (ENSMMUG00000059000.1)
Source: RNAcentral
CUCCCAAAGAGGAAAGAAUAUUUUACCAGGGAAAUAUUAGUUAAUUCUAGAAUUGCUCCCAUUGCAGGAGGAGAUUGCAGAUGGAGGUGUUGUAUGCGACUGUUUUACAUGGAUUCUUCGCUCUGGUAGCAGAUGUUGAAGAAGCUCUGUGAAUGUCUGUCUCUAUGUCCCAGUCAAAAGUGAGAAAACAGAGGGAAAAUGAGGCAAUUAACAAAGAUACAAAUAAUUCCAGAAGAUUUCAGCAUAGCAGAUAAAAUACAGCAAAUCCUAACCAGCACAGGUUUUAGUGACAAACGGGCCCGUUCCAUAGACACAGAUGAUUUCAUCAGGUAAUUACAUUUUUGUGUUCGUAAGCGUUUACACGUCUUUACUGUGACACCUUCAGAUUAGAGAUUUUAAAGGCUUUUAAGCGGUAUAAGGUGCUACCUGGGAUAGUUAUUGCAUAGCACUUUCAUGGCAUGGAAUAGUGUUUGGUGUAGAAGAUGAA